RNAcentral lists this unclassified non-coding RNA (531 nucleotides) under Hevea brasiliensis (rubber tree). Lineage: Eukaryota; Viridiplantae; Streptophyta; Magnoliopsida; Malpighiales; Euphorbiaceae. The record is from RNAcentral.
UCACUUCAAACGGCUCAAGAAGAUUCUGAAGAAUUGUAGCAGAGAUUUUCAGUCUCGACACCGCCAUAGCGAUGGCGUUUGCUCCACCGUCGCCGUUCAGAGCUGUCCGGAUCACUGUCCAGUGUGCGAUGGGACUUUCUUCCCUUUCCUUCUCAAGGAAAUGUCUGCAAUAGUAGGAGAUUUUAAUCAGCGAGCACAGAAAUUGCUUGAACUGCACCUUGCUUCUGGCUUUAGAAAGUAUCUCUUAUGGUUCAGAGGCAAACUGGAAAGCGAUCAUACUGUCUUAGUUCAAGAAGGGAAAGAAUUGGUUAAUUAUGCAUUGAUGAACGCCAUUGCAGUUAGGAAGAUCUUGAAGAAAUAUGAUAAGUUCUUGAUUGGGUUGCUGAGUACAGAUUCAUUACUCCAAGCAAGGCCAAACCUUCAAGUCACAAGCUCAGAGUAAGCACAUUGAGAUUCUUCAGUCACCAUGGCUAUCAGAGCUUAUAGCAUUCCACAUUAACCUGAAGGAGACAAAGCAUAAAUCUAAGAGGA